GCCAGCAUGGUGUAGUGGUGUGAGCAUUGGACUAUGACUCUAGAGACCAGGGUCCGAUUCCCAGCUCAGCCA
Molecule: non-coding RNA, 72 nt
Organism: Phrynosoma platyrhinos (Desert horned lizard)
Lineage: Eukaryota; Metazoa; Chordata; Lepidosauria; Squamata; Phrynosomatidae
Source: the annotation of a GenBank genome assembly